UACGUAGGGGGCUAGCGUUGUCCGGAAUCAUUGGGCGUAAAGCGCGUGUAGGCGGUCCGGUAAGUCCGCUGUGAAAGUCGGGGGCUCAACCCUCGAAUGCCGGUGGAUACUGUCAGACUAGAGUACGGAAGAGGCGAGUGGAAUUCCUGGUGUAGCGGUGAAAUGCGCAGAUAUCAGGAGGAACACCCAUUGCGAAGGCAGCUCGCUGGGACGUUACUGACGCUGAGACGCGAAAGCGUGGUGAGCAAACAGG
This 253-nucleotide ribosomal RNA is filed under the name uncultured bacterium. RNAcentral's name for it is "partial 16S ribosomal RNA". It matches the Rfam family "Bacterial small subunit ribosomal RNA", at positions 524 to 776 of the family's 1533-position model. The record is from RNAcentral.